Molecule: unclassified non-coding RNA, 424 nt
Filed under: Chevaliera tayoensis
Lineage: Eukaryota; Viridiplantae; Streptophyta; Magnoliopsida; Poales; Bromeliaceae
Description: partial 26S-18S rRNA external transcribed spacer
Source: RNAcentral
ACCAUGUCCACACAUGAGCAAUCACGGAUUGGUGUSUCCCGCGGGCUCCUUGCCUCUCGCAAUCAACCACUAAAGAGGCCAUCCUUCUUAGUCCUGUGCUCAUUCGUAUCUUUAGGCCAUCCUUUUUAGUCCAGUGCGUUGCGUGUGCYAUCUACCCGGCUCUGCAGGAAGUCAACGUACCCUAUGUGCUAGUUCACCUCCCCACCUCGAGCGGGAGGCACAACCACAAUGUGGUCGUUGCGCGCACCUUAACGACACAACCCUUGGGCCCCGUGCUAGCUGGGCUCCUAAAGUAUCRCAAGCUCUCGCAAAUGCGACAGGCUUCGGGGACUUCGGCCCUCGGCCCGGACCUUGGUCGGUCAUUAAGCCACCCUCGUCGAGACAACGAUCGAUCCACCGAUGGGCCCCCUCCGCUCCCUGCGGG